This 253-nucleotide ribosomal RNA is filed under the name uncultured bacterium. RNAcentral's name for it is "partial 16S ribosomal RNA". It matches the Rfam family "Bacterial small subunit ribosomal RNA", at positions 524 to 776 of the family's 1533-position model. The record is from RNAcentral.
UACGUAGGGACCAAGCGUUGUUCGGAUUUACUGGGCGUAAAGGGCGCGUAGGCGGCAUGACAAGUCACUUGUGAAAUCUCCGGGCUUAACUCGGAACGGCCAAGUGAUACUGUCACGCUAGAGUGCAGAAGGGGCAAUCGGAAUUCUUGGUGUAGCGGUGAAAUGCGUAGAUAUCUGGAGGAACACCGGUGGCGAAGGCGGCAUCCUGGACCGGCAUUGACGCUGAGGCGCGAAAGCCAGGGGAGCAAACGGG